GCUUGCUGCUUCGCUGACGAGUGGCGGACGGGUGAGUAAUGUCUGGGAAACUGCCUGAUGGAGGGGGAUAACUACUGGAAACGGUGGCUAAUACCGCAUAACGUCGCAAGACCAAAGAGGGGGACCUUCGGGCCUCUUGCCAUCAGAUGUGCCCAGAUGGGAUUAGCUAGUUGGUGAGGUAACGGCUCACCAAGGCGACGAUCCCUAGCUGGUCUGAGAGGAUGACCAGCCACACUGGAACUGAGACACGGUCCAGACUCCUACGGGAGGCAGCAGUGGGGAAUAUUGCACAAUGGGCGCAAGCCUGAUGCAGCCAUGCCGCGUGUAUGAAGAAGGCCUUCGGGUUGUAAAGUACUUUCAGCGGGGAGGAAGGUGUUG
This 378-nucleotide ribosomal RNA is filed under the name Salmonella enterica. RNAcentral describes it as "bacterial SSU rRNA". It matches the Rfam family "Bacterial small subunit ribosomal RNA", at positions 78 to 456 of the family's 1533-position model. The record is from RNAcentral. Lineage: Bacteria; Pseudomonadati; Pseudomonadota; Gammaproteobacteria; Enterobacterales; Enterobacteriaceae.